Molecule: long non-coding RNA, 342 nt
Organism: Ahaetulla prasina
Lineage: Eukaryota; Metazoa; Chordata; Lepidosauria; Squamata; Colubridae
Exons: 3
Source: RefSeq, a predicted model, not a curated record
CUGCCUUCUCCUAUUCUGGAAAGCACUUUGGAGGCUGGAGAGGCGAUUGCAAGAUGAAAGCUUGGCUAUUUGCGUUGUUGUUGGUGGCGUUCAUGUGCAAGGACCCAGUCGAGAAUCUGAAGUGUUACAAAUGUGCAAACUUUCGUUGUAAUUUCAAGACAUUCUGUUGGAAUAAAGAAAAGUUCUGUUAUUCAUAUACUCCUUCACCGGGAUUCGCAGAAAAAGGAUGUACUCCAUUUUGCCUGAAAACUGCCGACUUAAGAUGUUGCACAACUAAUUUGUGCAACUAACUUUCUUUAGCUAAUCAGCACGCAUUGAUUAAAACAAAUCAUGCCAAACCGG